Molecule: long non-coding RNA, 1799 nt
Organism: Homo sapiens (human)
Lineage: Eukaryota; Metazoa; Chordata; Mammalia; Primates; Hominidae
Source: Ensembl
GUUUUCAACUCACUACUUUUGUCUGUGCUAUUCUUUCAUUCAGGAUACCGCCCCAACCUCUCCACCUGGCUAAAUCACUCAUCCUUUGAGAUGCAGAAGCCAAAGAGAUCCUCAGCACAUACCUCCAGAAAGCCAGUUACUGCAGGGGAUGCGUACGGACCAGCCAGGAUCCUUAAAGCAUAAAGGCAAGAGCCAAGUCUCAGUAAACUCUGCAUGGGCCACAGCUCGGAAAAGAAAAAAACCUGUUAUAUCAUGGGAGCUCAGUGCUUGCUGAACUGAACUGAUUCACAUCAUGACUUGGGAUUCAUGAACCAGAAGCACAGGAAAUUAAUAAAAACUGAAAACGAGCCAAAGAGAAGGGAAAGGCUCUCUUACCACUGUUGAGAAUGUUAUGUUUAAUCCCUGCAAGCAGUAGAGACUCAGUGUACUUCCAUGAAGUGCUGCUUGGGCAUUCAUGAGGCAUUAAGGGAGAAAGAAUUUUUAAAAUCUUUGUCUUCUCAAAAGGGAAUACCACGAUGGGGCCAUGUCUAGAGCAAGGUGUCUAAGGUGAUUCUAGGGCCCUCGCCCAAGAAACGAAAGCAGCAUUGAACAUGUCCAGGAAGGAUGUGAAGCCUGAAGCCAAUGCAGAAGACAAAGCUAGAUAACCCCUGUCUCUAAGACAUAGGGACUUAGAACUCUUACCCUGAUGAGCAACAUUGAACAUUGGAUGUGUUCACCAGAAUGGAAGGAGACACACUCCUGCCGAAAUCAUGAAGGGCAAACUGACCCAGAAAAGGGACAGGUCAAGGAAGGUAUUACCUCUGCAUAGUUCUAGGUGUCCUGCUUAACUCAUUCAGGAAUUUCGGGCCAGAGGGAUAUCCAACAGGAAUUCUAACCUGAAGAGUUUAGAAACCAGUAGGAGAAUCAGGAUGAAUUCAGAAAUUACUAUAAUAUGCAUUUUCAAGUGAUAAAUCCCAUCAAAAACAGAAAAAGUGCUUGAAGAACUGGAAGGAACAGUGAUCAUUCUUGUCAGAUGGAAUCUUAAAAUCCAGUGGGUUUCAAAGGAUGAGCAGGAGCUGGACAUGAAGGGAUUGGAGGAUGGGGACUGGAAAUGGGGAGUUCAUUGCAAUCAGAAGGAAGAGCAAGAAAGGAACAAAAAGCAAGCAGUGUUUGGGGAGACCAGGAUGUGAUUCCAGUUUGGCCAAAAUAUAGGGUAUACUGGGAGAAUCUAUUGAGGUUUUGGGAGUGUAUUUGUUUGUAGUUUGAAAACACCUAAGCAAUUUUGAAGAGAAGCAGACUCUUUAAGUCAGAUGCUGGGUUCUCCAGUCCAAAUAUGCCAAUAUAAUUGUGUCUGGUCAAUGUCUAUCCUGUCCAUCCCUCCUGAGUGCCAGAUCUAAAUCCAGGUGCCAAUGGAUGACUUCCACUUGGGUGCCCCACAGGCGUCAUGAAUUCAGUAUGACUGAAAAGGACUCCUCCUAUCUUCAGCGAUGGUUCCACUACACAAUACACUGUCCAAGCCAGAAGUCCCAAACUAGCCUUCUGUCCUUCCUUCUCCAUUCACCACGCCUGUCAUCCCCUUCAGAGCUGUUGGCCAAAUCUUGUUGAUUUUACCAAGUAUCUAUCAAAAUGUUUCCUCUUCCUCCCUGUACUCACUGCAAUCACUUUUGCUCAAGGGCUCAUCAUUUCGUGCCUGGGUGACUAGAGUUGUUUCCCAGCAGGUCUCCCCACCCUCCUUUCUCACAUGGCUGCCAGAACGGUCUUCUGAAAGGCAAAUCUGACCAUUCGACAACUCUGCUCUAAAUUCCUCCUAUGGAUCCCCA